Molecule: ribosomal RNA, 408 nt
Filed under: uncultured Acidothermus sp.
Lineage: Bacteria; Bacillati; Actinomycetota; Actinomycetes; Acidothermales; Acidothermaceae
Description: bacterial SSU rRNA
Rfam family: Bacterial small subunit ribosomal RNA
Source: RNAcentral
AGUGGGGAAUAUUGCGCAAUGGGCGAAAGCCUGACGCAGCGACGCCGCGUGAGGGACGAAGGUCUUCGGAUUGUAAACCUCUUUCAGCAGGGAUGAAGCGAAAGUGACAGUACCUGCAGAAGAAGCACCGGCUAACUACGUGCCAGCAGCCGCGGUAAUACGUAGGGUGCAAGCGUUGUCCGGAUUUAUUGGGCGUAAAGAGCUCGUAGGCGGUCUGUCGCGUCGGAUGUGAAAACCCAAUGGCUUAACCUUGGGCCUGCAUUCGAUACGGGCAGACUAGAGUGUGGUAGGGGAAACUGGAACUCCUGGUGUAGCGGUGGAAUGCGCAGAUAUCAGGAAGAACACCGAUGGCGAAGGCAGGUUUCUGGGCCAUAACUGACGCUGAGGAGCGAAAGCGUGGGGAGCGAA